Molecule: ribosomal RNA, 253 nt
Filed under: uncultured bacterium
Lineage: Bacteria
Description: partial 16S ribosomal RNA
Rfam family: Bacterial small subunit ribosomal RNA
Source: RNAcentral
UACAGAGGUCUCAAGCGUUGUUCGGAUUCAUUGGGCUUAAAGGGCGCGUAGGCGGGUGCUCAAGUCCGUGGUGAAAUCCUCCGGCUCAACCGGAGAACUGCCUCGGAUACUGGGUGCCUCGAGGGUGGUAGGGGUAUGCGGAACUAUCGGUGGAGCGGUGAAAUGCGUUGAUAUCGAUAGGAACUCCGGUGGCGAAGGCGGCAUACUGGACCACCUCUGACGCUGAGGCGCGAAAGCCAGGGGAGCAAACGGG